GCAUUAAUGGGGUAGUGGUAACCUGGGUCGUUGCCAUCGAAAGAUGAUAGCAAAGUCUCGACCCGCCGGGGGUUCGAUUCCCCCUUAAUGCA
Non-coding RNA from Favolaschia claudopus, 92 nucleotides. Lineage: Eukaryota; Fungi; Basidiomycota; Agaricomycetes; Agaricales; Mycenaceae. The record is from the annotation of a GenBank genome assembly.